RNAcentral lists this ribosomal RNA (151 nucleotides) under Steinernema citrae. Its description in RNAcentral is "partial 18S ribosomal RNA". It matches the Rfam family "Eukaryotic small subunit ribosomal RNA", at positions 1683 to 1831 of the family's 1831-position model. Lineage: Eukaryota; Metazoa; Nematoda; Chromadorea; Rhabditida; Steinernematidae. The record is from RNAcentral.
CCGGGACUGAGUUGUUUCGAGAAAAGCGGAGACUGCUGCUCUGAGCGUUUUCGGACGAUCGUUGCGGCGAGAACCGCGUUAAUCGAAACGGCUUGAACCGGGCAAAAGUCGUAACAAGGUUUCCGUAGGUGAACCUGCGGAAGGAUCAUUA